Molecule: ribosomal RNA, 634 nt
Filed under: Rhizopus arrhizus
Lineage: Eukaryota; Fungi; Mucoromycota; Mucoromycetes; Mucorales; Rhizopodaceae
Description: eukaryotic LSU rRNA
Rfam family: 5.8S ribosomal RNA (bases 226-379)
Source: RNAcentral
UCCGUAGGUGAACCUGCGGAAGGAUCAUUAAUUAUGUUAAAGCGCCUUACCUCUUAGGGUUUCCUCUGGGGUAAGUGAUUGCUUCUACACUGUGAAAAUUUGGCUGAGAGACUCAGACUGGUCAUGGGUAGACCUAUCUGGGGUUUGAUCGAUGCCACUCCUGGUUUCAGGAGCACCCUUCAUAAUAAACCUAGAAAUUCAGUAUUAUAAAGUUUAAUAAAAAACAACUUUUAACAAUGGAUCUCUUGGUUCUCGCAUCGAUGAAGAACGUAGCAAAGUGCGAUAACUAGUGUGAAUUGCAUAUUCAGUGAAUCAUCGAGUCUUUGAACGCAGCUUGCACUCUAUGGUUUUUCUAUAGAGUACGCCUGCUUCAGUAUCAUCACAAACCCACACAUAACAUUUGUUUAUGUGGUAAUGGGUCGCAUCGCUGUUUUAUUACAGUGAGCACCUAAAAUGUGUGUGAUUUUCUGUCUGGCUUGCUAGGCAGGAAUAUUACGCUGGUCUCAGGAUCUUUUUCUUUGGUUCGCCCAGGAAGUAAAGUACAAGAGUAUAAUCCAGCAACUUUCAAACUAUGAUCUGAAGUCAGGUGGGAUUACCCGCUGAACUUAAGCAUAUCAAUAAGCGGAGGAAAAGA